AUCGUAAAACUCUGUUGUAAGGGAAGAACACGUACGAGAGUAACUGCUCGUACCUUGACGGUACCUUAUUAGAAAGCCACGGCUAACUACGUGCCAGCAGCCGCGGUAAUACGUAGGUGGCAAGCGUUGUCCGGAAUUAUUGGGCGUAAAGCGCGCGCAGGCGGUUCUUUAAGUCUGAUGUGGAAGCCCACGGCUCAACCGUGGAGGGUCAUUGGAAACUGGAGAACUUGAGUACAGAAGAGGAAAGCGGAAUUCCACGUGUAGCGGUGAAAUGCGUAGAGAUGUGGAGGAACACCAGUGGCGAAGGCGGCUUUCUGGUCUGU
RNAcentral lists this ribosomal RNA (323 nucleotides) under bacterium br20(2011). RNAcentral describes it as "SSU rRNA". It matches the Rfam family "Bacterial small subunit ribosomal RNA", at positions 422 to 737 of the family's 1533-position model. The record is from RNAcentral.